RNAcentral lists this long non-coding RNA (786 nucleotides) under Ursus maritimus (polar bear). Its description in RNAcentral is "lncRNA (ENSUMAG00000010198.1)". Lineage: Eukaryota; Metazoa; Chordata; Mammalia; Carnivora; Ursidae. The record is from RNAcentral.
AAGCCACCAGCUCCUUGCUCUUCCCAUCCUGCCCACCUGCACCCUCCACCCCAUCCCAUCCCACCCUGAAGAUGCCCACUUCCCCACUGUUUCCCCCUCCCCUCCUCCGAAUCCUGUUCCCCAGUGACUGAUAGGUCUAACCACUGAAUCUGCCGCCUCCCUCAGGGCCAGCCAAAAACCUUCGGACUGAGCUCCGGGGAGCACAGAGGAGUCACAGCUACACACACCUUCCAGGAGGACCAGGAAGAAGAGCCCCAGGCCAUGUGCAUAAUCAAAGGGGUCAGGGGAUGAAGCCAAUCCAAGGAAGGAAGAGAUGGGCCAGACCUGCGGCCAGAAGGAAGCCAGCUCCCACACCUGGGGCCAUCAAGCCAUCUCCAACCCUCGCCCAGAAGGCUUUUGUAAAAGGCCUGGUGGGAAGGAAGCUUCAACUAAUCCAACUGAUUCAACCCUAACACCACCAGCUCCGCACAAGGCCCUGUGCUGAGCCAGACGACGCCACGGUGAGCUGUGGCCUGGGAAGCAGCUCUCUGAAGAACAGAGAGAGCCCUUUAUGAAUGGAGAAACUGAGGCUCUAAGAGGAGACAUGACUUGCCCGAGGUCAAAAGGCUGAGAGAGAGGGUGAACCUGAAUUCAGCCACUAUACCCAUGAAUAUAUACCCAGUGUCUGAAUCCAAGUCCCUCUACCCAUGAUGCCACGGCUAACCAAGCACCACGCUGGAUGCCUUAGAAGUGGUGGAUGGACACGUUCCAGAUUCAGCCAGUCGAUUCCUUGCCCAGGAAGCUGAG